This 722-nucleotide long non-coding RNA is filed under the name Homo sapiens (human). RNAcentral describes it as "HSALNT0386118". The record is from RNAcentral. Lineage: Eukaryota; Metazoa; Chordata; Mammalia; Primates; Hominidae.
ACUGGGCAGAGGUUUGACUGGCAAGCAGCUCUGGGUGUACAUUUCAUCCAAGAGUCUCAUGGUGGUCGAAGGAGAUCCCCAGAUGCAAAAUCAAAGUUGCUUGGAUUUCCAUUUCUUCCCCAUCUAGGAAAAGGGCAAUGGAAUCAAAGCCUUUAAAAAAUGUAGUAAGAGAAAGACUCUCUAAUUGAUCAGAACCUUCUGGCAACCAGCACUUUGGCCCAUCUACUGAAAAAUACUUUAUCAGUGUCUUUAGUAAAGGCCCCCAAGAUGCACAAUACAUUUUUGGUUGUUGAAAUAGAGUGUCUUCUAAGUCAUCAAGUAAAAGAGAAAUUCUGCUCAGAAGACUUUUGGAUAGUACCCAACAUUUGGUGAGGCUUACUAUAUUACAUGCAUUACCUCGCUAAAUCACCACAUUAGAACACUUACAGGAUGAUGGGAAGCCAUUUCUGUGCAGGGAACAACAAGAUAUCAAUCAACUUUGAGCAUCACCAGGAGGGUGAAAACAAUGGUACUGAAUUGCAAAUUGUAGGACUGCAGAAAUAAAGUUCUGUUCACAAAAAAGUGGGUGAUGGGGUCUUUAAAAAAAAAGUGUAGAGGAAUAUUUUCUCAACAUUUCAUAAACAGCCAUUUGAAAACUGCCCUAGAGCAAAUUGGAAGUCAGUACAAUGUCCAGGCGUUCACUUGUUAGACUUGGAAGAAUGUGCACACACAAACGGCAUUCU